Panonychus citri (citrus red mite) is the source of this 2476-nucleotide long non-coding RNA. RefSeq lists it as uncharacterized. The transcript has 2 exons. The record is from RefSeq and is a predicted model, not a curated record. Lineage: Eukaryota; Metazoa; Arthropoda; Arachnida; Trombidiformes; Tetranychidae.
CUUGGAGAACAAGCAAAUUAUCACCAACAUAUAAAACAUCAUCACCAUGUGUAAGCUUUUUUUUAUGUGUGUUUGUUGAUGUUACUAUUUGUUCAAUAUGUGUAAUCCAGUUUUCGUUCAGGUAAAUAUACGUAGGAGAGAAAAGGAGAGAGAGAAAGGAAAAGAAAAGGUUAAUCAAUUCAAUCCACCGUUGACUUUGAGCUGUUAUGUUUGGAUAAAACAAAUACCAUUUUAAUUGUAACACUUACUACACAUCCUGCUUAAAACCAUCACUAUUUGAGUAUAAAACUACUUUGUAACAACGUUUCUCUCUCCCCCUCUCUCUCUCUCAGUGAUAAUCACCAUCCAUAGUAACCUGGAGAAAAUGAUUCUGACAUUAUACUGAUUAUGGCGAUGAUUAAAACAAGGUGAACAAAAUUAAACAAGAAAAAGUGACGAGUACAACUUAUCAAGAAUCAUAAUACAACAUUGAAACCAUUACAUCAACAUCUACAUUUCCCAAACACCAAGAUCAUCUUUCACCAAACCAUCAUCAGCUUUAACCACAACACCGACAGCAUCAAGACAACAAGGCUUUCUGUUUCUCUAUCGAUCCCCUUCCCUUUCUCUGUGAAUCAAUCAAAUGGAAGCUUGUUAUUUGUACUUCAUCAGGUGCUCUGUGUUAUUUUACGUUUUAAUACUUCAGACAUCUGAAGAAGUACAUUUAUCAAGGCUUAACCGGAGUACAUCGCCCAUAUUAUUAUCCAUCUUUCUCUAUCUCUCCAACUGGCUUUUGGUGUUGUUUUUGUCUCAGUUUUUUUUCUAUUUCUCUUUUUUUCUCUGUCUGUUUUUUUUCUGUCUGUUGUCUCUCUCCCUUUUCCCCACACUGUCUGUCACACCUUUUUAUUUGCUCUCUCUCUCUCUCUCUCUCUCUCUCUCUCUCUCUCUCUCUCUACCUCUGACAGAGGUUCCUCUGUGUUUCUUUAUGUGUGUGUUGACCUUGUUUUGUUAACUUUCUUUUCCUUUCUUUCUCUAUCUUUUUUUUUCCUUUUCUUUUCGACUCAUUUCUUGCUUUUUUCUUUCUUUUGUUUCUUGCUAACAUUCUGUUGUUUCGAUUGUUGAUGCUGUGCCUUUCUUUUCUAUCUUUUUCUGUUUUGUUUUUUUUUAUCUCUCUCUAUCUUUCUCUUUCAUGACAAUACGAUGAUGAUGAGAUGAUGAAAUGAUGAUGAUGAUGGUUUUGGUAUUUUUUUCAUGAAAUUGUUGGAUCCUUUUAUAUGUUCACACCUCAGGACCCUUGGUGGACUUGGUGGUUCCAACUGAUUGGUUACAAGUCGUCUCUGGUUUAAUGGAUUUAGUUAACCGCUGAUCCAAAUUAAAUGUUAUCAUCAAAAUCAAAGAGAAACAAGAAACAAGAAAUUAGAAAUUAGAAGGAGUAAAAAAAAGUGAGAAAGAAAAAAAAAUAAGGAAAGAUAACCAAAGUAUUGAGCUCAAUCAUUGAUAUCACAAACCAGAAUAAUUUUUAGCUCUUUUUAUAUUUAUUUACCUGCAUUAAGGUUCCUUCAAGUUUAUAUAGAUGAUAAAUACCAUAGAUUGGAACACAGGAAACUGAUGAUCCAGUAAUUAACCAACCAAGUCUAAUUGACCAAGCUGGAUAUUUAUAAUUACCCCACUCCAAGUCUUUAUAACCAAUAAUUGCAAAGGAUAAAGUUACCUAAUUGUGAUGCAACAGAAAAGAUUACAAUAAUUAAUAUAUUUAUUGUUAUCUUUCUCGCUAAUCAAACAUAUUCACACAUACACUCACUCUCCCUCUCUCUUGGGGGUUGCCCUGAUUAUAACAAUUACUAUGAUUAGUAUUUUAAUUGUUUAACUUGUAAAUUAGAUAACAACAAAAACUGUUUACCAACAAUUUCAUCCAGCUAUUGAAAUCCAUGUGCUUGAUUGAAUUUAUCUUGAACUAUUCACAAACAGUUUCUAUGUCUCUCAUCUCUUCGAUAGUUCAUUCAUUAUUCAUAGAAUUUCUUUGUUUUAAUUAUGUUCAACUAAUUAUUACUCAAAAAUUUCUAUCAUUUUUUGUGAAUGGAUUUGGUUUCAAUUUGAAAGAAAUGAAAGUCUAGGUAUAGUAACGCCAUCUAUUGAUAGUAAUUAUUAUUACUAUUGAACAAGUAACUCGACUCUAGAAAUAGUCUUUUUUUUCAUUCCAAAACUUAAUCAUCACAAUUAACUGAUUGUGAAUUUAAUUAAUUUAUAUUUUUCUCUACUUACGGCAAGAAAUAUUGGACUAAUGUAGGUCCAACAGGUUCUCCAAAAAAUUCCAGGCAUAUAUCCAAGCAUCUCUUUAAUUUGGAGUGAAAAUCUAUUGGCCCCUGAGAAAGGAAAAAUUGAACCAAUUAGUUAAUUGUUUCUACAAUUAAGUUAAACUGAUUAUUUACCAUAAAACCAGCAAAUUGCAACUGACUCAAUGAAAACAAUAAAUAACAAUGGGAAAGUUGCUCCAUAA